RNAcentral lists this long non-coding RNA (421 nucleotides) under Rattus norvegicus (Norway rat). Its description in RNAcentral is "long non-coding RNA NONRATT020883". The record is from RNAcentral. Lineage: Eukaryota; Metazoa; Chordata; Mammalia; Rodentia; Muridae.
GCCAUCUAGAGAAUGAGAAGCUUGACUCUGAGCUCCAGCCUUUUUGAAAAGAGACAGGUCCCUGGGUCAUACCUCAAAGAGACAUAUACAAGAAGUCCUUGACCUUCUGAAUAUAUGCCUCAAUAAUGAUGCAGGAAAAACUGCCCCAAGGUAAGGGAGGAUGCUGGACUCUGAGACUCUGGUCAGCUGCUGUGAUUUCCAUGUUACUCCUCAGCACCUGCUUCAUCAUGAGCUGUGUGGUGACUUACCAAUUCAUGAUGGAGAAGCCCAAUAGAAGACUGUCUGAACUUCACACAUAUAAUUCUAAUUUCACCUGCUGCAGUGACGGGACUAUGGUUUCAGAUUCUGGCAUGAAGAUGAGCCCAACAAUGACUAUGAAAAAUGUGUUGAAAUAAAUCAUCAUAAGGAUAUUGGAUGGGGC